CGUAGGGUGCGAGCGUUAAUCGGAAUUACUGGGCGUAAAGCGUGCGCAGGCGGUUUAGUAAGACAGGCGUGAAAUCCCCGGGCUCGAACCUGGGAACUGCGCUUGUGACUGCUAAGCUAGAGUACGGCAGAGGGGGGUGGAAUUCCACGUGUAGCAGUGAAAUGCGUAGAGAUGUGGAGGAACACCAAUGGCGAAGGCAGCCCCCUGGGUCGAUACUGACGCUCAUGCACGAAAGCGUGGGUAGCAAACAGGAUUAGAUACCCUGGUAGUCCACGCCCUAAACGAUGUCAACUAGGUGUUGGGAGGGUAAAACCUUUUAGUACCGGAGCUAACGCGUGAAGUUGACCGCCUGGGGAGUACGGCCGCAAGGUUA
This 373-nucleotide ribosomal RNA is filed under the name uncultured organism. RNAcentral describes it as "bacterial SSU rRNA". It matches the Rfam family "Bacterial small subunit ribosomal RNA", at positions 526 to 896 of the family's 1533-position model. The record is from RNAcentral.